Molecule: long non-coding RNA, 387 nt
Organism: Gorilla gorilla gorilla (western lowland gorilla)
Lineage: Eukaryota; Metazoa; Chordata; Mammalia; Primates; Hominidae
Exons: 4
Source: RefSeq, a predicted model, not a curated record
CUGCUGCCAUGUGAGACUUGAUUUUCACCUUCUGCCAUGAUUGUGGGGCUUCCCCAGCCAUGUGGAACUGCUACUUCUGCAGAGAGAACACCAGAGGGGAAAGGAAUCUAUCAGAAGGCAAGAUGUUAAUGUAUCAAGGAAAGAUAACGAACUAAGACAGAGAAAACUGGGCAGGAAUAUGCAGUUAUUACACCAAGAAGAACCUUACAAUUAAGCUCAAGACCUACAAGAAGCUAUUAAAAUUAAUGGAGGAGCCAAAUGUGGAGCAGAACAUCUCUGGACAUCAAGUUGACCGGCCAAAAUUUCCUGGAACAGGUACCUUUCUGUUUUCCACAAUAAAUAUACAAGCCAAAAUGCAAACAGAAUUGGAAGCAGAAAUGAGAUACA